GACGAACGCUGGCGGCGUGCUUAACACAUGCAAGUCGAACGGAAAGGCCCUGCUUUUGUGGGGUGCUCGAGUGGCGAACGGGUGAGUAACACGUGAGUAACCUGCCCUUGACUUUGGGAUAACUUCAGGAAACUGGGGCUAAUACCGGAUAGGAGCUCCUGCUGCAUGGUGGGGGUUGGAAAGUUUCGGCGGUGGGGGAUGGACUCGCGGCUUAUCAGCUUGUUGGUGGGGUAGUGGCUUACCAAGGCUUUGACGGGUAGCCGGCCUGAGAGGGUGACCGGCCACAUUGGGACUGAGAUACGGCCCAGAAUGCUACGGGAGGCAGCAGUGGGGAAUAUUGCACAAUGGGCGGAAGCCUGAUGCAGCAACGCCGCGUGCGGGAUGACGGCCUUCGGGUUGUAAACCGCUUUCGCCUGUGACGAAGCGUGAGUGACGGUAAUGGGUAAAGAAGCACCGGCUAACUACGUG
This 468-nucleotide ribosomal RNA is filed under the name uncultured bacterium. Its description in RNAcentral is "partial 16S ribosomal RNA". It matches the Rfam family "Bacterial small subunit ribosomal RNA", at positions 28 to 507 of the family's 1533-position model. The record is from RNAcentral.